AAGACUAAUGGCCUAUGCCAGAUUAUGCUAGAAGCUUCUCCCAGAUUCUGGAAGGCAGCCAGGUAGUACUACUUUCCAAAAGAAUCAGUGCUCCUUCAUGAAGAGGUGAAAUGGGAAGCCAGUAGCAUCCCCCAAUGGGACAAGUUACCACAUUAAUUUUAGAGCUGUGGCAUUCAUCUUAAAGCAUUUCACCUGCAAGAUCACAGCUCUGGGAGAAACCGUUGUCCCCAUUUUACAGAAGAAGGUGAUAUUCAAAGACUUUAACAGGGAUUGAAAUGGUAGAAGGCAACUUCAAAUACAUAUCUUCUGACUACAGAUAUCUGCUUUUGAUGGUUACCCCCUGCUACGUGAUUCUGUAUACAUCAGACUCAGUAUUUUCUCUUUGGUGGAUGUUGUCUUUGUGAGUUAGAGGUAAUUAUGAUAAUAGUAAUGUGCAUAUUGGGGGGCUGUGAGGAGUCGCACAGACAUAGACAUGAAAGUGCAUUGUAAAGAAACAGUGCAGUGCAAGGAAAUGAAUAUUGUUAUUCAAAUUCCUUCCACCUCAUCUUCUCUUCCCCUUCAAAUAUAUCCUCAGCAGUAACCCUCCCGCCUGCCUCUUCCUACCAGGUUUAUCACCUGAGUGAAUAGAAUGAGAACCACCAUCUGGGGCUGUGCAGUGGGGAUUGCCAUCAAUAGUUUGCAAACCAGUAAGCUGAGGUUUAGCGAAAUGUCUUUUUUGGGCUAAUAAACCCAGUGUUUGGUGGAACCCGCAUUCUCUCUGCCUCCGGCUGUGACCACACAGAAUCCCAGGACAGCAGGAAUGGAGCCUGGACUCUGGAACUCAGAGUUCAUCCCCGGGAGAGCCCUCACUCACCACUCUACCUCACCUCUCCGUUUUGGUGACCUCUGGGCCUCUCAUACCCUGAGGGUUCUAGAGGGAGAGCCACCUCAGGUAUGGUCACGUCUUAUUUAUACACAUCACCAUCUCCCCAGUGGCUCUAUGGCAGGGCGAAUGGAGAUAUUCUUACCAUGUGAGGCCCAGGAAUGGAGUUAUAUGAGGGCUGUUUCCCUGAAUGGCACAGAGAGGCCCACCGAAAUGUCUUCACAUAUGGGUUGGGCAGCAGCGACUGGUUGCUGGAGCCCUGGUGCCAUGCUCCUCAAAGUCCAUGGGGAGGAGAAUGGUUUCUCAAAGCCCUCAUCUGAGAAUCUCAGCCACCUUAGAGGGAAAAACCUCACAGGCCUUAACCUUCUAGGAAUCUGGAAUGAUGGAGAGAACUGGACACUGGGCUCCAAGCUAGGGAAUCUAGAUUUUAGGGUUGAGUGAAGUUUCUGGGGAGAAGCUGCACUUCUCCGAGCUACAGUUUUCUCAUCUGAAAAAUGGGUAUUUCUGAUUCAUUAAUUCAGAAAGUUUGUAAUAAGCAAUGAGCAAGUACAGUUCUAGGUAUGGGGGUACAAUGGUGAAUGAGAUAGAUGAGGUCUUGGAGGCUGAUAAUAACUCGGGGCCAAUACAACAGUGAAGGGGGCAGAUGGCUUAUAAAAAAUUAGACAAGAAGAAUGUUAUAUAGUGAUGAGCACUAUAAAGAGAAAUAACAGCACAGUGUGAUGACUUAGGGGCUACUUUAGUUUGGAGUGGGUUAGGGAUGACUUCUCUGAACAGGUGACAUUUGAAUGAGGUCACAAUGACAAGAACGAACCAUCCAUGCCAAGAUCCGAAGCUGGGCAGUGAGAAAAUAGAAGGAAUGUUGCAGGCAGAGGGCAUGGCCUGGGCACAGGCCCAGAAGUAGACACAUUUGGGUGGAGUCAGGCUGUUGCAGCCCAGUAUGGUGAGAGAGAGAAGCAAGUUUAGAGGAAAGUGGUAGAUGAGAAAGAAAGCCAGUAGGGGCCAUAUCUUCUUGGGUCUCACAGGCCCUGGUAAGAAACUUCUGUCUCAUUUCUGUGUGAUGGAAAGCCAGAGAGUUUUAAGCAGGAGAUGGGCCUGGCCUUGGAAAUGGAAAUGGCAGUAUCUCUCUGGCUGCUGUUGCAGAAUAGCGUUGGAGGGCCAAGAGUAGAAGCCUGGAGAUCAGUCUGUGGCUGUUCAUUGCAGUAGUUUGGGCAAUCAAUUACAGUGCCUUCGUCUAUGGUGGAGGUAAAGAGAGAUGUCAGAUUCAAAUGUAUUUGGUAGGGCUGGCGGAAUUUGACAAGGGAUUGGAUGAGAGGCAGUGGGAGAGAAUCCAGGACGGUACCUGGUUUUAGGAACUACCUCAUAGUCAUCUGAUGAGGAUUGACCUAGAUAAUGGAUGAACAGCGCUUAGCACAGUGCCAGGAACUUAGCAAAGGGUCAGUGCAUUUUGAUCUUCUUCAUUAUUUCUAGUCCUGGCUCUGUCCUGGCUCUGAUGUUCAGUUGAACUUUGAGUAAGUGCCUCCCUGGUCCUCAGUUUCUGCAUGUAUACAAUAUGGCAGACCAUGUAUUCAUUCAUCCACUCCACAAAUAUUUAUUAGACAUCUAUGAUACAGUAGGCUUUAUGCUGGACACCAGGGAUACAGGAUGAAAAACACCAAACAGGGUCUGCCCUGGGACAGCUCGCAGUAGAGUAGAGAAGAAACAGUUACAAGUCCUUGGGAGGGUCAGGAAGGAGCCAAAGGUAGGCAGGCCUUGCCCAGGUAUGUGUCCAGGGAAGGCUUCCUGUAUGGAAUGACAUUUAACUGGAGGUCACAAGAAUGAGUAGGAGUUGGCAAGGGGCGAGAUGGGAAUGGGUGAAGUGGCAUGGAGUGAGCUGGGAAAGGGGAAGUGUCAGGGUAGCAGCAUGAAUGAAGUACUUGAAGAUGAACGAGCAUGACGCUCUCCAUUGCCAAUAUUCUAAGUGCAUUACUGCCCAAACAUCUCAUGUUUGAAAAACCAUGGAAAGAGGGGGCACCAGGACCCAUCAAAUGCAGAUGGGGGCAUUUUCAAGUUAUCUGGGCAACCCAGGGUUUGUUUACAUUUUUUAAAAGGUUAGCUACUAACAGUGAAUGCUUGGUGGUCCUUUUGGGAAGAUCUGACCUCUAGUUUUAUUUUGCUUAAUUCCUUUGCUAAGAUAGUUUAUCAGAGGUUCUUAAAAAAUUUUUUUUUAAUGUUUAUUUAUUUUUGAGAGACAGAGAUAGAGCACAAGAGGGGCAGAGAUAGAGGGAGACACAGAAUCUGAAGCGGGCUCCAGGCUCUGAACUGUCAUCACAGAGCCCGACGCGGGGCUCGAACUCAUGAACUGUGAGAUCAUGACCUGAGAUGAAGUCGGAUGCUUAACCAACUGAGCCACCCAAGCACCCCAGUUUAUCAGAGGUUCUUAAAUGUGGCUUCACAUUGGCAUUACCAGGAGAAACUUCAGAGAAAAUGCUAUUUCCAGGCCCUACCCUCAGCAUUCUGAUUCAUAACCUGUUCUUGAUGUGCAUCCAGGGUUGGAUAUACUAAUGAGGGGACUAUACUCUAUUGGUUCUGGAACAUGUUCUGAGUUCUGUCUUUGUAUACAACCGGACCACCAAAAGUUACUGGGCCAUAUCCUUGAUAAUGAUAUUAGCUUCCUAAUGAUCAAAAAGUUUGGAAUUAUGAUUGAAUAUCUUUCCCUUGGUGUUUAUUGAGGACAGAUUCGAGAAGCAGCCAUCUUCAAAAUAUCUUUGCAUUUGCUGUAAAACUAUUUUCAAUGGUAUCACAGUAUUCACUAAAUAAAUUUGUUUUAGAAUUUGUCUUAAAAAUUGGUAUGCCUUCCCCCGGACAAUAAGAAUUAAGUAAUCUAACAUAUUUACCUUUUUGCCUUGGCUGUCAGGAAACUCAGAGUCAAAUCUGAAGCCUAUACAAUAACUAUACAAACUGCAAGAUAGCCUACCUCUUUCUUAUGGUUUCAAUUCCACGUUUCUAGUUUAAUACUAUUAUCAAGUAUAUAGGAAGUGUCAACUGUUUCUAAGUCUGAGUGAAGGUAUUUCAAAAGCACCAACCUGCACAUUUUUCUGGAGUCCAUGGAAGAAUGACAGUCCAAGGCCAUAGACAUCACUGUUGUUAUGAUGCAGAUGAUAGACACCAUCUACUAGUAGAAACCAAACCAAAUGCUUGGGAAUGGAAGCAUUCGUCGGAGUCACAUGCAAUUGGAUGAAAGGCAAAGCAUCCUUUUCCACAAUCCCAUUAAGAAAGGAAAUGGGCGGGGGCGCCUGGGUGGCUCAGUCGGUUGAGCAUCCAACUUACGAUCAGGUCGUGAUCUCACCCCUUGUGAGUUCAGACCCCGCACUGGACUCUGCUGACAGCUCAGAGCCUGGAGCCUGCUUCGGAUUCUGUGUCUCCCUUUCUCACUGCCCCUCCCCCACUCACACUCUGUCUCUCUCUUUCUCAAAAAUAAAUAAACAUUAAAAAAAUUAAAGAAAGGCGAUGGGUGUUCCUCACCUGAGUCAGCAUUUGUCUCAUGAAUGUUCCCUCAAAAUAAAUAAACAAAAGGCAAGAAACAGUGUACACAGUAUACAAGCCCUUUCUCUCUCUCGAUUGUCACGGCAAUGCCCCACCCCCCAAAGCAACUAUUACAAUAGAGGCUCCUUUACAGAGGAGGGAAACAGAGGCUCAGACUGAUCCUGCUGCAGAUCCAGGAGGUAGCCGACCUGGGGUUAAAGGUGUCAUGUGAGGAUACAGCAAGAAAACCAGGAAGAGGGUUUUCACCAGGAUUGAAGUGGCCAGCCUUCAGAACUGAUCUGUCUUUUCAGGAUCAGACUAACUUCUUUCGGAGCACUUCUGUGAGUUUGCACAGUCAUGAAAACACCAAAAUGGCCUAUAAUGGGGAUUGGUUAAAUAAGUAUUUCUAGACCCAUACAACAUAAUAAUAAGCCACCAAAAAACGGAUGGUGAUGUUGGUUUCUACUAAUAGAAAAACGGUUGUUCCUGAUUAAGUGAUGAAAGUCAUUAAACCUGAUGUCUGGUUUAAUCCCACCAAUGUAAAUGUAAUGCUACUAAAUACAUAGUAAAAAUUAUAAGCAUAUAUAAUAUUAGAAGCAAACACCGUGUUUUGUUUUUUUCCUUAUUCUUCUGUGAUUCAUUUUUUAAAGUUUUUUUUUUCAUAUUUAUUUAUUUUGAGAGAUAGAGCACGAGUAGGGGAGGGGCAGAGAGAGAGGAAGAGAGAGAAUCCCAAGCAGGCUCUGAGUGCCAUCAGCACAGAGCCUGAUGUGGGGCUUGAUCUUACAAACUGUGACAUCAUGUCCUGAGCCGAAAUCAAAAGUCUGACGCUUAACUGAGCCACCCAGGUGUCCCUCUGUGAUUCAUAAGGGUGAACUGCAUAAUAAUUUUUUAAGUCACAUGAAACAGAACCUUAAAACAGAAAAAAGACUGAUUCUAGAUGAAAUCUCUAACUGCUGCCCUUGAAGUGAAGGGCACAAGUGACCAGAGUCACUCAAGUAAUGUCAUUGGCUUAGACCUUCCUCCUCUGCAUGUUUCCCCACACGUGAACCCUUGUGCGGAAGGGGGAAGAUGCAGCCAUGCACAGCCAUUUCUCCUCUUGGUUUCUCCUUCUCCUCCCCCUUCUCCUCCUCCUCCCCCUCCUUCUAUUAAUCUAUGAACCUUUCCAUUUUACAGACAAGCCUCACUGGGUAGAAGAAGCGCCAAUAAACUUGCUAAUGGAUAAAUCGAUUUCAGCAGCCAAGAGAAGAGUGUGGUUUGUCACUGUAGCAAGCUUGCAUGCCGUAUUGUGGGGGGAGGGGAGGUUCAGUGAUCUUUUAUCUUAUGCAAAUCCAACCCAAAUGUUAGAUGUAGUUACUCCAAAAUAUUUGAGUGAUAUUAUUCCUUUUGCCUUUGUAUAUAUUUAAACUGACCGCGGAGGAAAAAAAGGAAAACAGCAAAGACAUGACUGUUCGUGGACUGCCUACUAGGUGCUGGGAACCUCAUCUGUCUUUUUUCAUUUACUCCUCACAACAACCCCAUUAAGAGGUUAAGAGUCUCUCUUUACAAACAAGGGAUGCAAAGCUCAGAGAUGCGCAGUAAUUUGCCCAAUGUUACACAGCUAGUUGUGGAGAGGAGCAGGAUUAAAAGUACAAGGCCGCCUGGCUCUACGGACUAUGUGCUUUCAAUUAGUGCUGCUUUGCUCAGUUUUACAAAGGUGAACAGGGCUACCUUCUGAAAUAGCUCACUAACUUUGCAUCCUAGCAAUCUGAAAACCGUUCUAUACUCAGAUUUUAAGAGAGACCAGAGAGACCUUGACCAUUCUGUGGUCCAGUGGCUUCAUUUUGCAAAUGAGAACACUGAGGCUCUAAGAGAGGAAAUGGUUUAAGUCCGUACCAUCCAGUCAGAGAGCUAGGGCUAGAACGCAGGCCUCCUACCUGCUGUUUCCUUCUGCUUGGUCGUGGGAUCCUAUGUUUCUCAGGUCUGCAAAUCAGUCAGGCCCUGUGUGAGAUGUCUGGGAGAUUCUGAGAGUUCAAACUUAGGAAAGAAACAAAGAUGAGUAAGAAAGGUUUUCUGCUCAAGGCACCUGGGUGGUUUAGUCGGUUGAACGUCUGACUCUUAAUUUUAGCUCAGGUCAUGAUCUUACAGUUCGUGGGUUCGAGCCCUGUCAGUGCAGAGCCUGCUUGGGAUUCUCUCUCUUCCCCUCUCUCUGCCCCUUGCCCCCCUCAAAAUAAAUAAAUAAACUUUAAUAUUAAAAAAAAAAGUAAAGUUGUGGUGCCUGGGUGACUCGGUUAAGUGUUUGACUUAGGCUCAGGUCAUGAUCUCAUGGUUCAUGCGUUCCAGCCCCACAUCAGGCUGUCUGCUGCCAUCACAGAGCCUGCUUUGGAUCCUCUGUCUCCCUCUCUCUCUGCCCCUCUCCCCGCCGCCCCACCACACACACACACUCUCUCUCAAAAUAAAUAAAUAAACUUUAAUAUUAAAAACAAAGUUUUCUUCUCUUAAAGAGCCCCAACAGUCAACUACACGGAUAUCCCUGGGAAAUGAACACCAUGCUCAGUGUUACAAUAGACCUUGAUAAGAAAUGCAGUUGCAGGGGAAGGAAUUUUGUUUUUUCUUCCCGUGUGUGUGUGUGUGUGUGUGUGUGUGUUCUAAGUGUUCUUUUGGAUUUUGAGUUGAAUUCUGUUUUGAAUAACAAAAACCAAUUUUUACGAAUGUCCCUAAAUUUUACUCCUUGAGAUAUAAAAGUUGAAUUAUAGCCAGUCAGCUCCUUAGUCCUUUUGCUAAGGUCCAUCAGCCUGAAGAAGCAACUUGGGUUCAUGGGGGGGG
Molecule: long non-coding RNA, 7165 nt
Organism: Acinonyx jubatus (cheetah)
Lineage: Eukaryota; Metazoa; Chordata; Mammalia; Carnivora; Felidae
Exons: 3
Source: RefSeq, a predicted model, not a curated record